GCACUGCUGAUGAGUCCCACACAGGACGAAACAGCUGUCCAAUGC
Molecule: non-coding RNA, 45 nt
Filed under: Echinostoma caproni
Lineage: Eukaryota; Metazoa; Platyhelminthes; Trematoda; Plagiorchiida; Echinostomatidae
Source: RNAcentral